UGAUUGUUUGGCCACAACAUU
RNAcentral lists this non-coding RNA (21 nucleotides) under Caenorhabditis elegans. Lineage: Eukaryota; Metazoa; Nematoda; Chromadorea; Rhabditida; Rhabditidae. The record is from RNAcentral.